Molecule: ribosomal RNA, 315 nt
Filed under: Escherichia coli
Lineage: Bacteria; Pseudomonadati; Pseudomonadota; Gammaproteobacteria; Enterobacterales; Enterobacteriaceae
Also listed under: 2 other names
Description: bacterial SSU rRNA
Rfam family: Bacterial small subunit ribosomal RNA
Source: RNAcentral
GGGGGGUAGAAUUCCAGGUGUAGCGGUGAAAUGCGUAGAGAUCUGGAGGAAUACCGGUGGCGAAGGCGGCCCCCUGGACGAAGACUGACGCUCAGGUGCGAAAGCGUGGGGAGCAAACAGGAUUAGAUACCCUGGUAGUCCACGCCGUAAACGAUGUCGACUUGGAGGUUGUGCCCUUGAGGCGUGGCUUCCGGAGCUAACGCGUUAAGUCGACCGCCUGGGGAGUACGGCCGCAAGGUUAAAACUCAAAUGAAUUGACGGGGGCCCGCACAAGCGGUGGAGCAUGUGGUUUAAUUCGAUGCAACGCGAAGAACC